RNAcentral lists this ribosomal RNA (497 nucleotides) under uncultured bacterium. RNAcentral's name for it is "partial 16S ribosomal RNA". It matches the Rfam family "Bacterial small subunit ribosomal RNA", at positions 28 to 507 of the family's 1533-position model. The record is from RNAcentral.
GACGAACGCUGGCGGCGUGCCUAAUACAUGCAAGUUGAGCGAUGAAGCUUGGUGCUUGCCCCAAUUUGAAGAGCAGCGAACGGGUGAGUAACGCGUGGGGAAUCUGCCUUUGAGCGGGGGACAACAUUUGGAAACGAAUGCUAAUACCGCAUAACAACUUUAAACAUAAGUUUUAAGUUUGAAAGAUGCAAUUGCAUCACUCAAAGAUGAUCCCGCGUUGUAUUAGCUAGUUGGUGAGGUAAAGGCUCACCAAGGCGAUGAUACAUAGCCGACCUGAGAGGGUGAUCGGCCACAUUGGGACUGAGACACGGCCCAAACUCCUACGGGAGGCAGCAGUAGGGAAUCUUCGGCAAUGGACGAAAGUCUGACCGGGCAACGCCGCGUGAGUGAAGAAGGUUUUCGGAUCGUAAAACUCUGUUGGUAGAGAAGAACGUUGGUGAGAGUGGAAAGCUCAUCAAGUGACGGUAACUACCCAGAAAGGGACGGCUAACUACGUG